RNAcentral lists this non-coding RNA (30 nucleotides) under Mus musculus (house mouse). Lineage: Eukaryota; Metazoa; Chordata; Mammalia; Rodentia; Muridae. The record is from RNAcentral.
UCUCAGAUGUGACCAUACCUUCAGCUGCUG